UCCAACCUGUAAAAAUGUCAACCCUACACCAGAUAUAUGGCCUCCUUGAAUGUAUAAUCCAAUUCGAUGUUCAUAUCCGAUCAAACAAAGGGGCCUUGUGGCCUUUCUUUCUCUAUCCCUAAGUAUGCAGUUCAACCUCUUAUUAAAUGUGGCACCAUAGACAUACACGUUUCAUAUUUAGCAUCAAACUUUCAACCUCAAUAUAACAUUCAACCACAACAAAACAUUCAAUCUCUUAUUAACCCUGCUUAAUAGUACACUCGAGCAAUAAAUUUAUAAAAAAAACACGCAAAAAGUAACAAACGGUCCAGCUGGUCACAUUAUGGAACACCAAAAGGGGGGAUCCAUACACGGAUGCAGUUCAUAAUUUCCCAAGAGAGUACAAGUGCCUUGGGUGACAAGGCUGGCCGCAAAAACUACCUGGUCCUCUCCAUUACAACGUGUAAGCUGCCCAUGCUGAAAU
Rhododendron vialii is the source of this 463-nucleotide long non-coding RNA. RefSeq lists it as uncharacterized. The record is from RefSeq and is a predicted model, not a curated record. The transcript is spliced from 2 exons. Lineage: Eukaryota; Viridiplantae; Streptophyta; Magnoliopsida; Ericales; Ericaceae.